UGGUGCAUGAAGGUUAUGGGAAGAGUCUC
This 29-nucleotide non-coding RNA is filed under the name Rattus norvegicus (Norway rat). The record is from RNAcentral. Lineage: Eukaryota; Metazoa; Chordata; Mammalia; Rodentia; Muridae.